GCCUUUCAAUCUGUCUCCGAUGUAUUCAUAAAGAACUUCAGUCAUUUGACUCUCGACCUGAAUACAAAAUUGCCAUCCAUUCAACCAGAAUAUCCAUCGCAAGCAACUAGGGGGCGACUUGGGGAAGAUGUCAUCUACAGGAAGAAAGGGGUGAGGAUGAUGCUGAGUGCUCGCAGACCGAGAGUGGAAUGGCUGAUUCGAUACACGGUUCGGCGAACCUCUGACAAAAUCAAGAAUGGAAAGACUUAAAUAACACCUGUACUUACUGCCUGUAUAAUAGAGAUCCUGCUGAGGGUAACUUAUGAGGAAUCUAUAUAGUUUGCAUUUGAGGGACUUGACUGUACUUUAGUUCCACUUUGAUUUGACACAAAGAAGCACUAACUGGUCUCAGGUUUUGCCUGUUUUGGAAGCCUCAAGUCCAGACGUGAAACCUAGCAUCAAGAAUUUGAAACAGGAAUUCUCAUCAUGGCUCAGUGAUGAUGUACCCGAUUAGUAUCCAUGAGGUCCAGGGUUCGAUCUCUGGCCUUGCUCAGUGGGUUAAAGUUUUUGGCAUUGCCGUGAGCUUCUGUGUAGGCUGCAGAUGAGGCUCAGAUCUGGUGUUGCUGUGUCUGGGGCAUAGGCCAGCAGCUGCAGCUCCAAUUCAACCCUCUGCCUGGGAACUUCCAAGUGCCGGCCCUAAAAAGACCAAAAAAAAAAAAAGAAUGUGAAGCAAAUCAACUUGUGUGGGAAGAAUCUAAAGAAAAUGUUGGUAGUUUGGCUAGAAUAUCACUAGAGCAGCUAUUGAAUUGUUAGAAAAAUUUUUGAUGUGCUGUUUUAAUUUUCUGUAGCAAAUAAAUGUGCACAGAGGAUGAUCUGAUUAAAACUUGAGACAUUUGAGUACCUUUAAAUAAAAUUCUUGUUCUUAUUUUAAACUUAUUAUUGCUAGCUAUGUAAAUAAACAAUACUUACCCCAUCACAUUCCCAGGAUAUAAAUAUCUGACAUUCUCAUUUCUGGUAAGACUGUCCUGUUGGGAAGGAAGUUUGUCUGUCUUCAGAGUCCACGUUUUGUUUUUUUUUUCUGGUUUUUUUUGUUUUUGUCUUUUUCCCUUUUCUAGGGCCACUCCCGCGGCAUAUGGAGGUUCCUAGGCUAGGGGUUGAAUCGGAGCUGUAGCCACCAGCCUAACCAGAGCCACAGCAACGCAGGGUCUGAGCCGCAUCUGCAACCUACACCAAAGCUCACAGCAAUGCCAGAUCCUUAACCCACUGAGCAAGGCCAGGGACCGAACCGCAACCUCAUGGUUCCUAGUUGGAUUCGUUAACCACUGAGCCAUGACGGGAACUCCCAGAGUCCACGUUUUUAGUCACUCCUCUGGUCCUCACUUGGAAUGUCGUUUUUCCAGGGAGCAGCCCUGAUCUUUCAGUUUGAGGUGAAAUGUCUCACACUACGGCCUCAGGAUCCUGGACUCACCCGAUCACGUUGUCAUUGUCUGCUUUCUUAUCAGUCACCUGAGCAGAAUGCAAACUCCUCAAAAGAAAGGGGAACCUCUGUUCUUCAAGUGUCACUAGGGUGGUGGCAUUGACCCUGUCUUGCCUGUGACCCACAGUAAGAAAUACACCCAGCACUGGGAAUUAUGUCUAGUCACUUAUGAUGGAGCAUGAUAAUGUGAGAAAAAAGAUUGUAUACAUGUUUGUGUAACUGGGUCACCAUGCUGUACAGUAGGAAAAAUGUAUUGGGGAAAUGUUCAAAAAUUAAAUAAAAAUUAAAAUUAAAAAAAGAAUAUACCCAGUACAUGUCCAGAUAAAUAUUACUAGCUAAAAAUUUUCAGGAAAGAAUGAUUAGCUAUUGCACAAUGCACUCUGAUAUUUUCUACAGUUCCUUUUAAAAAAUUUUUUUAAAUGCUGGUAGAGAUACACAGUUUAUUUCACUAUUCAUUAGUGAGUCAAAGCCAAGUUUGAAAAGCACCAACUUAGUGCAUUGCCUGGAGCAAAGCUGGUGCAUCAUAAAUAAUUUAAUCAUUCAUUCAUUUUUAAAUCACAUGGGCAUGUAUAUUUCACACUCAUAUAUAAUAAGUCAAAAUAUUCAGAAAAAUGAGUACAUUAGUUUUCAAGGUUGUUUUGACUUUUGUCCGUUUUCCCUCUCCCCUCUCAAAACUUGUGAAUUCUGCCAGUAGUUUUGUAACAGCAAAGAUAAACUUGAGGGAAGUUUGAAAAGAGGUUAAAGAAGUUAAUCCUAAGAGUAAAGGUCAUGAGCCACAUCUUUUCUAUUGUCUUCUGACCUUUUUGGGAGGCAAGAACACUUUUAAGAUUUGUUAUCUAAGCAUGCAAGACUUACAAGACUUAAGCAGCAUUGUUACCCAAAGACUAAAAAUACCCCACCUAUCCUUAUCAAUUGCAAAUUUAUGGAGAGCUUUUUGUUUUCUUUGCUCUAGGCCCAGACAUUAAGGGCAGUCUUUUAGAUAAGAUAGGCAAUGUAAACAUUUCAGCAUUAGUAUCUUAUUUUCUUUGUCUUUGGAGAAACCAAAACAAUUCACAAACCUGUUAUCCAGAAGAGAAAUUGUUUACAAACAAGAAUUUAAAUUUUAAACUGUGUUUCUUGUGAGUUCCCGAUAUGGCUCAUCAAGUUAAGAGCCUGACUGGUAUCCAGGAGGAUUUGGGUUUAAUCCCUGGCCUUCCCCAGUGGAUUAAAGGAUUCUUCAUUCGCCCCAAGCUAUGGUGUAGGUUGCAGAUGCAGGUCGGAUCUGGCAUUUCUGUG
RNAcentral lists this long non-coding RNA (2731 nucleotides) under Sus scrofa (pig). Lineage: Eukaryota; Metazoa; Chordata; Mammalia; Artiodactyla; Suidae. The record is from RNAcentral.